RNAcentral lists this long non-coding RNA (618 nucleotides) under Bos taurus (domestic cattle). Its description in RNAcentral is "long non-coding RNA NONBTAT015151". The record is from RNAcentral. Lineage: Eukaryota; Metazoa; Chordata; Mammalia; Artiodactyla; Bovidae.
UUUCUUUGCAGAGAUUUUGUAUGUGCAUUUUAUGGAGUUACCUUUUUGUUUAUUAAUGACAUUUUCUGGACAUGUGUAAUAUAGAAAUCUUCAGAACUGCAUGUAGUUUUUUAAUGGAGCCUAAAAUUGUGUACCAUUUUACAUAAAAAUUUCAUAGGCAUUCAUUUCUUCUAUUUAAUGAAUGGCUUUCUACAUACCAAAUUUUCUUUUUGGAGCCAUUGAGAAUUUUUCUGAUUUGGUUUUGUGACUGAUGAUGAGUUUCUUCCUUGUUUCUUUUGCCUUCCCUACGUUGCUUUUAAUAAGCAUUCAGCCUCCUGACCUGAGGGGGAGAAAUUUAAUUAAUUGAAUAUGAGAUUCUUAUUUGGACUAUUAAGAGUACUUUUUUCCAUUUAUUUUUCCUUGCUUUCAGUAAAGAAGUUCUAUAACCAAAAAAUUAGACCCUGAAAUAAUCUAGUGAUGUUCAUUUAUUAGGCUUUAAAGUCCUAUCCCUCAUCCAUCACCACCUACCUUUGGCUUUCUGUCAGCAUGGAAAUUUGUUUGCCAGACCCAGCUCUAUUGCCCAGCCAUGACUGCUGGUCCAGUUCUGUUACAGCAUCACAUAGCUCAGUUACAUUAGGU